GCCUUACAGACAGCUAAAGACUGGCAACCGAUAGCGAGAAUCGGGUGGGGC
RNAcentral lists this non-coding RNA (51 nucleotides) under unclassified sequences. RNAcentral's name for it is "DUF2693-FD RNA". It matches the Rfam family "DUF2693-FD RNA". From Rfam's summary of the family: DUF2693-FD RNA is a non-coding RNA (ncRNA) recognised in Bacteroides by a bioinformatic analisis by Zasha Weinberg. No recognised genes. The record is from Rfam by way of RNAcentral.